This is a long non-coding RNA of Nothoprocta perdicaria, 681 nucleotides long. RefSeq lists it as uncharacterized. The transcript has 2 exons. Lineage: Eukaryota; Metazoa; Chordata; Aves; Tinamiformes; Tinamidae. The record is from RefSeq and is a predicted model, not a curated record.
GGCACCACCACCACCAUGGGCAUCCCCAUGGGCACCCCCACGGGCACCCCCCUCCAGGGGUGCCGGUGUGCCCACCGUGCCAGCCUGACUGCCAUCAUAAGAAGCACAAGAAGAACAAGAAGAAACACACGAAGUGCAGCCAUAAGCACCAUGGAGGCAAGCACUCCUCAAGCAGCUCAAGCAGCAGCAGUUCUGAUUCUGACUAAAGAGCAUGGCUCCCACCUGCUUGCUGAGGAAUGAACAGAAGCAAAGCAUGAAGAUGAAUGUGCCAUGAGGAUUACCAGUUUGUUCCUUUCCCCUUUCUCUGCAAACUGGAGUUGGCUGUUGGGUGAUUUUUCCUGGUUUUAGUUUGUAAAUUCGGUAGUCUGAAAUCACUGCAUGAAUACAACCAGCAAUUCCUCCCUGUCUUUAGCUACAGCCCCUGCCUGCAUAGGGAUUCACUCUCAUACCUCUGCAUUUCACUAAAAAUGACUCAUGAAGACUGUAGACAGCAGCACAGGGAGCACCACGUCAUGACUUGCAGUCUGCUCUUUGAUGUGUGACCACCACUGUAUGAUAUGGAUGAUGUAUGAUAGUCUAAAGGGAUCCCAUCACUUGUUAGAGCUCCUUAAAUUUUGUGUAAACCUUGUUACUUGUGGUCCCUCUCUUGAUAAACUGUACAGAUUACCAUUGUAAAAUUUU